UGAGUACGAGAUGCUACGGCAUCGAAGCAGUCUAUGUCAUACUUCCAAGAAAAGCUUGCAAUGUCAUAAACAAAUAAUGCCUGUACCAUAACCGACACAGGUGGGUAGGUAGAGUAUACUAAGGGGCGCGAGAUAACUCUCUCUAAGGAACUCGGCAAAAUGACUCCGUAACUUCGGGAGAAGGAGUGCCUUAUUUUUAUAAGGUUGCAAUAACAAGAUCCAAGCAACUGUUUACCAGAAACACAGGUCUCCGCUAAGUCGUAAGACGAUGUAUGGGGGCUGACGCCUGCCCAGUGCCAGAAGGUUAAAGAAGUUGGUUAGCAUUAGCGAAGCUGAUAACUGAAGCCCUGGUGAACGGCGGCCGUAACGAUAACGGUCCUAAGGUAGCGAAAUUCCUUGUCGGGUAAGUUCCGACCCGCACGAAAGGCGUAAUGAUUUGGAUACUGUCUCGGAGAGGGGCUCGGUGAAAUAGACUUGUCUGUGAAGAUGCGGACUACCUGCACCUGGACAGAAAGACCCUAUGAAGCUUUACUGUAACUUGAGAUUGAAAUUGGACUUUAUCUGCGCAGUAUAGGUGGGAGACGUUGAAAAUAUUCUUGCGGGAAUAUUGGAGUCAUCAGUGAGAUACCACUCUUAUAAUGUUAGAUUUCUAACUUUGUAUCAUUAUCUGGUCAAAGAACAGUUUCAGGCGGGCAGUUUGACUGGGGCGGUCGCCUCCCAAACGGUAACGGAGGCGCACAAAGGUUUCCUCUGAACGUGUAGAAAUCGUAUCUAGAGUGUAAAGGCAUAAGGAAGCUUGACUGUGAGACCUACAAGUCGAGCAGGGACGAAAGUCGGUCUUAGUGAUCUGACGGUGCUGAGUGGAAAGGCCGUCACUCAACGGAUAAAAGUUACUCUAGGAUAACAGGCUGAUCUCCCCCAAGAGUUCACAUCGACGGGGAGGUUUGGCACCUCGAUGUCGGCUCAUCGCAUCCUGGGGCGGUAGUACGUCCCAAGGGUUGGGCUGUUCGCCCAUGAAAGCGGUACGCGAGCUGGGUUCAGAACGUCGUGAGACAGUUCGGUCCAUAUCCGGUGUAGGCGUUAGAAUAUUGAGAGGAGCCUUCUUUAGUACGAGAGGACCGAGAAGGACAUACCUCUGGUGUACCAGUUAUCGUGCCAACGGUAAACGCUGGGUAGCCAUGUAUGGAGAGGAUAACCGCUGAAAGCAUCUAAGUGGGAAGCCCACCUCAAGAUAAGUAUUCUCA
RNAcentral lists this ribosomal RNA (1244 nucleotides) under metagenome. RNAcentral describes it as "bacterial LSU rRNA". It matches the Rfam family "Bacterial large subunit ribosomal RNA", at positions 1564 to 2816 of the family's 2925-position model. The record is from RNAcentral.